GUUCAAAUAACGAAUAACCAAUAUGUAAAACCCGAACCCGUUAAGGGUAUCAAAUUCCAAACCCGAACUCGUCUUAAACAUAUUACCCAAAUCCGUCACGGCUAUUAAAUUCCAAACAUGAACUCGUCCUAAACACACUACCCAAACCCAUCUUAUUAGAAUCCAAUAUCUUAUUAGAAUUAUUGGAUGAGGUACCCACAAAAACCCAACCCUUUGCCAUCCUUACUUACGGACAACCUUAGAACCAUCCAUGUAAAAUUCUGCGACCAAUUUCCAUAUGGGGUGCAUUUGCCUGAGAUACUCCUAAGUUUUCUUCAAAAGUAAAACUUUUAUACACCUAAAAACAUUUCUUUAUGGCCACCACAUGCAUUACUUUGUAAUUUAUUACAUCAUGCGAGCAUAUAAAAAUAUGGGCAUAUUUAAUCAGGCAUCUAUAAUGAGAAAUUUUUCACCUCUAAUUUACCUGAAGGCACACACACUAGAGAAGGGAAAAAAAUAUGGCAAAAUGAAGCCUGUCUGUUCUUAAUUGCUUGUUUCUCAACAUAUUUAUUUACAUAGCUAAAUACUUUUUGAACAUCAAAAUAACGGAAACAGAUUCGAGAAAAGAAUGAAGGUUUUCCACGAGGCAGACACGAUGUAUACAAAGAUCAAUUUUCUAGCAAGAAACAUAAGACCUUAUUAAUUCCCCAAAAAGACAACAAGAUAGCAAACCGAAAAUGAGAAAUGAGCCAUUGAAGGAAGAUAACAUAC
RNAcentral lists this unclassified non-coding RNA (750 nucleotides) under Hevea brasiliensis (rubber tree). The record is from RNAcentral. Lineage: Eukaryota; Viridiplantae; Streptophyta; Magnoliopsida; Malpighiales; Euphorbiaceae.